This 512-nucleotide ribosomal RNA is filed under the name uncultured bacterium. Its description in RNAcentral is "bacterial SSU rRNA". It matches the Rfam family "Bacterial small subunit ribosomal RNA", at positions 34 to 507 of the family's 1533-position model. The record is from RNAcentral.
CGCUGGCGGCGUGCCUAAUACAUGCAAGUCGAACGCACUCUCGUUUAGAUUGAAGGAGCUUGCUCCUGAUUGAUAAACAUUUGAGUGAGUGGCGGACGGGUGAGUAACACGUGGGUAACCUGCCCUAAAGUGGGGGAUAACAUUUGGAAACAGAUGCUAAUACCGCAUAAAACCUAACACCGCAUGGUGUAGGGUUGAAAGAUGGUUUCGGCUAUCACUUUAGGAUGGACCCGCGGUGCAUUAGUUAGUUGGUGAGGUAAAGGCUCACCAAGACCGUGAUGCAUAGCCGACCUGAGAGGUAAUCGGCCACACUGGGACUGAGACACGGCCCAGACUCCUACGGAGGCAGCAGUAGGGAAUCUUCCACAAUGGACGAAAGUCUGAUGGAGCAACGCCGCGUGAGUGAAGAAGGUUUUCGGAUCGUAAAACUCUGUUGUUGGAGAAGAAUGUAUCUGAUAGUAACUGAUCAGGUAGUGACGGUAUCCAACCAGAAAGCCACGGCUAACUACGUG